UUAUUAUUAUUAUUAUUAUUAUUAUUAUUAUUAAUUUAAAAUCCCAAACAAUUAAACAUGCACACAACAUGAACACAAUAUAUUUAUAUUUAAGUAUUACCAACUACUUAUCCAAAAAUAAGUAAUAAAUCCAAAACAUAACCUAACCAAGACCAAGUUAUCACUACUACCUACACUUGCAAGCAUAUAAGUGAAUUGAUCUUCACAUACAAAAAGGGGAAUAAAUCCCAUUCAAUUCUUGCAUAAAAAAAAGUCAAUAUCCUAACUAAGAAAACAAUAUCAGCCACAUCAUCAUUAUCAUCAGCCACAUCAUCAUUACUAUCAGCCACAAUAUCUUCAUGAACUUCAUCUCUAGUAUAUGGCUUCGGCCGAAAGUUUAAGCUUUCCAUCAAUU
This 394-nucleotide long non-coding RNA is filed under the name Trifolium pratense (red clover). RNAcentral describes it as "long non-coding RNA (TPRA_LNC009546)". The record is from RNAcentral. Lineage: Eukaryota; Viridiplantae; Streptophyta; Magnoliopsida; Fabales; Fabaceae.